This 1597-nucleotide ribosomal RNA is filed under the name Escherichia coli. Its description in RNAcentral is "partial 23S ribosomal RNA". It matches the Rfam family "Bacterial large subunit ribosomal RNA", at positions 612 to 2194 of the family's 2925-position model. The record is from RNAcentral. Lineage: Bacteria; Pseudomonadati; Pseudomonadota; Gammaproteobacteria; Enterobacterales; Enterobacteriaceae.
AUAAUGGGUCAGCGACUUAUAUUCUGUAGCAAGGUUAACCGAAUAGGGGAGCCGAAGGGAAACCGAGUCUUAACUGGGCGUUAAGUUGCAGGGUAUAGACCCGAAACCCGGUGAUCUAGCCAUGGGCAGGUUGAAGGUUGGGUAACACUAACUGGAGGACCGAACCGACUAAUGUUGAAAAAUUAGCGGAUGACUUGUGGCUGGGGGUGAAAGGCCAAUCAAACCGGGAGAUAGCUGGUUCUCCCCGAAAGCUAUUUAGGUAGCGCCUCGUGAAUUCAUCUCCGGGGGUAGAGCACUGUUUCGGCAAGGGGGUCAUCCCGACUUACCAACCCGAUGCAAACUGCGAAUACCGGAGAAUGUUAUCACGGGAGACACACGGCGGGUGCUAACGUCCGUCGUGAAGAGGGAAACAACCCAGACCGCCAGCUAAGGUCCCAAAGUCAUGGUUAAGUGGGAAACGAUGUGGGAAGGCCCAGACAGCCAGGAUGUUGGCUUAGAAGCAGCCAUCAUUUAAAGAAAGCGUAAUAGCUCACUGGUCGAGUCGGCCUGCGCGGAAGAUGUAACGGGGCUAAACCAUGCACCGAAGCUGCGGCAGCGACGCUGAUGCGUUGUUGGGUAGGGGAGCGUUCUGUAAGCCUGUGAAGGUGUGCUGUGAGGCAUGCUGGAGGUAUCAGAAGUGCGAAUGCUGACAUAAGUAACGAUAAAGCGGGUGAAAAGCCCGCUCGCCGGAAGACCAAGGGUUCCUGUCCAACGUUAAUCGGGGCAGGGUGAGUCGACCCCUAAGGCGAGGCCGAAAGGCGUAGUCGAUGGGAAACAGGUUAAUAUUCCUGUACUUGGUGUUACUGCGAAGGGGGGACGGAGAAGGCUAUGUUGGCCGGGCGACGGUUGUCCCGGUUUAAGCGUGUAGGCUGGUUUUCCAGGCAAAUCCGGAAAAUCAAGGCUGAGGCGUGAUGACGAGGCACUACGGUGCUGAAGCAACAAAUGCCCUGCUUCCAGGAAAAGCCUCUAAGCAUCAGGUAACAUCAAAUCGUACCCCAAACCGACACAGGUGGUCAGGUAGAGAAUACCAAGGCGCUUGAGAGAACUCGGGUGAAGGAACUAGGCAAAAUGGUGCCGUAACUUCGGGAGAAGGCACGCUGAUAUGUAGGUGAAGUCCCUCGCGGAUGGAGCUGAAAUCAGUCGAAGAUACCAGCUGGCUGCAACUGUUUAUUAAAAACACAGCACUGUGCAAACACGAAAGUGGACGUAUACGGUGUGACGCCUGCCCGGUGCCGGAAGGUUAAUUGAUGGGGUCAGCGCAAGCGAAGCUCUUGAUCGAAGCCCCGGUAAACGGCGGCCGUAACUAUAACGGUCCUAAGGUAGCGAAAUUCCUUGUCGGGUAAGUUCCGACCUGCACGAAUGGCGUAAUGAUGGCCAGGCUGUCUCCACCCGAGACUCAGUGAAAUUGAACUCGCUGUGAAGAUGCAGUGUACCCGCGGCAAGACGGAAAGACCCCGUGAACCUUUACUAUAGCUUGACACUGAACAUUGAGCCUUGAUGUGUAGGAUAGGUGGGAGGCUUUGAAGUGUGGACGCCAGUCUGCAUGGAGCCGGCCUUG